RNAcentral lists this ribosomal RNA (663 nucleotides) under Triticum aestivum (bread wheat). Its description in RNAcentral is "partial small subunit ribosomal RNA". Lineage: Eukaryota; Viridiplantae; Streptophyta; Magnoliopsida; Poales; Poaceae. The record is from RNAcentral.
UCUGGAGGGAGACUAUGUGUGUCUGUGCGGGACUACUACUGCUACAAAUUUCAGAUGCGUCCCGGGAUAUUCAACCCAAUCCUCUAUGGUAAGCGUCUUUUCCAACAGUUUGCAGUAGACACAUACAUCAAGAUAGAGAACUCCCGGUUGGACUAUAUAUGGGGCCAUCAAGAUACGAUAAGGGCGGACCUAUACCAGGGCUUGGUGGACAGCUUACAUGUUGGUGAGGGUAGGGCAGAUGCUAUUGGAAAAGUGUUAUCUACAUCUUUUAUAAGUGGUCCACGGGACAAGAGGCGUCGCUACAUGGAUGCCAUGGCCUUAGUUCUAAAGUAUGGCAAGCCGGACGUCUUCCUCACAAUGACAUGCAACCCAAACUGGGAUGAGAUUAGGCAGGAACUCUACCCCGGUCAGACACCUCAGGAUCGUCCCGAUCUCGUUGUUCGUGUUUUUAGGGCAAAGUUGGAGGAACUCAAGAAUAAGUUGCUUCAGAAGGACAUCCUGGGCAAGGUGAGGGCUUAUGUUUAUGUGGUGGAAUUCCAGAAGAGGGGUCUGCCUCAUGCACACUUCCUUCUCAUCAUGGAGGGGCGGUACAAGCUCACAUGCCCUGAGCAAUAUGACCGUCUUAUCUCAGCCGAGCUCCCAAACAAGAAGAAGUACCCAUAA